RNAcentral lists this ribosomal RNA (253 nucleotides) under uncultured bacterium. RNAcentral describes it as "partial 16S ribosomal RNA". It matches the Rfam family "Bacterial small subunit ribosomal RNA", at positions 524 to 777 of the family's 1533-position model. The record is from RNAcentral.
UACAGAGGUCCCAAGCGUUGUUCGGAUUCACUGGGCGUAAAGGGUGCGUAGGUGGUUGGGAAAUUUGAUGUGAAAGCUCGGAGCUUAACUCCGAAAUGGCAUUGAAUACUUCUUAACUUGAGGGUCGGAGGGGAGACUGGAAUUCUCGGUGUAGCAGUGAAAUGCGUAGAUAUCGAGAGGAACACCAGUGGCGAAGGCGAGUCUCUGGACGACUCCUGACACUGAGGCACGAAAGCUAGGGGAGCAAACCAGG